CCUACGGGGAGCUGCAGUCGAGAAUCAUUCACAAUGGGGGAAACCCUGAUGGUGCGACGCCGCGUGGGGGAAUGAAGGUCUUCGGAUUGUAAACCCCUGUCAUGUGGGAGCAAAUUAAAAAGAUAGUACCACAAGAGGAAGAGACGGCUAACUCUGUGCCAGCAGCCGCGGUAAUACAGAGGUCUCAAGCGUUGUUCGGAAUCACUGGGCGGAAAGCGUGCGUAGGCUGUUUCGUAAGUCGUGUGUGAAAGGCGCGGGCUCAACCCGCGGACGGCACAUGAUACUGCGAGACUAGAGUAAUGGAGGGGGAACCGGAAUUCUCGGUGUAGCAGUGAAAUGCGUAGAUAUCGAGAGGAACACUCGUGGCGAAGGCGGGUUCCUGGACAUUAACUGACGCUGAGGCACGAAGGCCAGGGGAGCGAAAGGGAUUAGAUACCCCAGUAGUC
This 446-nucleotide ribosomal RNA is filed under the name uncultured bacterium. RNAcentral's name for it is "partial 16S ribosomal RNA". It matches the Rfam family "Bacterial small subunit ribosomal RNA", at positions 338 to 795 of the family's 1533-position model. The record is from RNAcentral.